AGAUUUUCCGACGACUUUUCCGGCUCGAAAGAUCUUAAACAACCGGGGAUGCAACUUGAGACAACUCUAAAACAUAUGAGGUUCCAAAUGGAAUGAUAGUUGCAACUUGAAACUGCCCUGAAACAUGAGAUUCCAAAUGAUCAUUGUGAAUGAGAAGGGCACAACGAUGACAGCUCCACAAGCAAAAGAGAAAAUUCAAGACCAAACAGGUUGUUGGUUGAGAUGUACAAUUUUGAAUCAGCUCUUAAGAUAUUGUGAGUUUUGAAGCUUUGUUGAUGCAUAUUUUCGAUAAGAUUUUGAAGAAGUAUUUAAAUCUUGAAUUUCUAUCUUAUUUUAUUUUUCAUUGGAGCAAUUUCAUACAUAGCACACGAAUCUUAGCUAUUUACAAAAUCAAUACCCUCCUACCUCAUUUUAUCAAAUUCCACCCAAACGCCAAACUCCACAACGAAAAUCAAACUCAUAACCAUUGCUUAUUUCAAAUGCUUAACACCCUAAGUAUAUACAAAUGCAUGGGUUUCCUUGUAUAGUUUUUUGAAUGGUAGUUUUGUAAAUAGGAUUGAUUUUGGUGGCAUGUGCUUAAAUCCCUCUUGUUUCCUUUUACAAUUAUUAUUAUUGUAUUUCAAGCCAUUAUAUUUUUGAUGUGUCCAUGUAAUACAUUAUUGUGGCAUGUGGGAGAUAAUAGUCGGUUUAAGUCAAAAAGUUAUAUUGUGCCUAUUACAUAUGGAAAUAUCAUAAUAUGAUGCUCAUUUUGAAAUAUAGGUAGGAUUUUAGGUAGUAUGUUAGAGCAAAAAUAUUUUUUUUUUCUUUUCUUUUUUUCCGCAAGCCUUCUACACUAUUCCUACAUGUUAACCAAUAUGCUAUCAAAACGAUGUAAUAAUUGUAUGCUCAUAACCUUAAGUAUAUUUUUCAAUUAUUAAGAUCUAAUUAUGAGUUUUAUCAUUGAUUCAACUAGAAAUUGGUCUAGAACCAAAAGGAAAGUAUCAUGAGCUUGUGGAUUUAGCACUACCUUAGUCAUGUAGCCUUAGAAUUCUUUGAUUCCAAGUUAGCUUGCAUUCAGUCACAAUAAUUUAAAAGAAAAAGGAAGAUAAUUAUAAGCUUUUGUUAUCACUCAAGCUUGUGAUGAGACAAUUGAAAGGGGUUUCUCCACUUGUAUAGUAUCUAAGGGAUCUCAAUCACGAGGGCUCAGAAGGGCCCUUCAUAUUGACAAAUUGACCCCAUGCAUGCAUCAUUAUGUUAUACAAUAUGAUUAAUGUUUAUACGUGACUUUCUUUAUUUCAUUUAUAUAAAUGCUAAUGAUUGAUAAUAUUAUGUUCUAUUUUUCUGAUUGUAAUUUUUAUCUAAAUUAAUCAAAUAUAGAUAUGGACAUAUAGAUGUGAUUGUAGAUUUGAUACAUGUUGUGAAUAAAAUUUUAAAAUACUGACAAUGUUUGUUAUGUGGAUAACAUAGAGAGGUUUAUUGAGCAUUAAGAGCUAAAGAUCUCCUGAUAAAAGAACCGGAGUCACAGGUAUAGAUCUGCAUCGACAGGAUUAUUAUCAUCUUGAAAACUUCCAACUUUGUUAGCCUCUGUUUAAUCUGUAUAAACUUAGGAAGAGCUCAAAAAUCAUUAUCCUAAAAUAACAAAACCAUUGAAAGCCUAAUACGAUUACAACUCAACCUUCCCUAUCUUCUCUCUUGUAGGAAGAUUUAUGCCAUGAAAAUGGAAUAUGCUUGCAUAUAUUUUAUGCCUUACAGGAAGCCAAAGGUAAUAGAUAUGUUUAAUUGGUGUAACAUUGCAGAAUAUGAAGAGAUAAUUUACUAACGUGAAGACAAAUUAAGUUUGUUUCAGCCAUCUCAUGGAUGAAAACCUAGACAUCAUAAAAUUGAAUGAGCUUCAUAAAUUGGGGAUGCAACUUGAAACUGGGCUGAAGCAUACAAGAUCCCAAAUGGUAAGUCAUUCAUAAUACUUCAAUUUUGGAUUUAUAACUUCUUGCAUUUGUAGUUGAGGCAAUAUCCACCUAUUCUUGUAAUGCAUAAUUAACUACUUGAUUUCCAUAGGUGAGCUUCAAAGAAAGGCAAGACGUCCUCUUCUCUUUUUCAUUGCCUUCAUUGUGUCCCUUGAAAAAUAUAUGCUUAAAUUCAUCAUCGUAGCACAUAGGGCUUCAAUUGAUUUAUAGUUGGAUUAUCAUAUCUUGAAAGAAAAGAUUAGUGUGAGGGCUUGGUCUAACAAGUGGUUCACUUUCCUUUACACUUCAUAGAUGCAUGCAAUAUGGAUAAUCUAACAUGAAUAGAAGAUUUAGUUGAAUGGCAUUUAUAAAUAUAAGAAUUGAAGAAUAACCCUCACCUAAAUUGAAAGUUAAUAAAUGAUGCCUUUUUUGGAUUUGAGCUUUCUGGUUAUUUUUGUGAUUUAUUUUUUCUUUUGAAUUUUAGCCCCCUUAUAUACUAUAUAUUUAAGGCUCAUUGUCUCUUGAACUAUAAAUCUUAAAUCCCUAGAAAAAUAAUGGUAAAAUGGAAGACAUUUUUGGAGUAUGGGUUUCAAAUGGUCAACUUCAUUUAAGCUAAUUUAAUUAAUGUAAUAGCCCAACUCAAUGUGAUCCAUAAUUAAUUUGCUUCAAACUGUGUGGGCAUAACAAAAGAGGAAUCUCAAUUAAUUUUUUUUCAAUACCACAAUUUUUUUACCACAUCAUUGUCAAGUAUUAUGAAAUCUCAUGGUUAAUAGUAUAUGAUUUGAUGUGGAUUAUACAUUUUCAAUUUAGUAUAACCAAAAGGUGCUAAAAUAGGAAGAACAUAAACAGUAGAUAUAAUAACAAAAUAUUGUAUUUAGCUUGUGAAUUCUACGAUACAAACAAUUAAUAUUCAUUAUCAAAGCUUUAUUAUUGAGUUAGCUAAGGUAUUUUUUAUCAUAAUUACAUGGAACUAAAGAGAACAUUAAAUAACAUUGUAUAGGAGAGUAACUUAUGUUAUUAAAAUAUCCCCUAUACAAACGUUUAUCAACAUUAACUAUAUAUUCAUAUCAAAUGAGAUAUCAAUAUAAGAAUUAUGUUGAUAUACACCGAUCAGUGUUCUAUAAUUUUUGAAUGCCUAUUUAUUAAGUCUUGUCACCCUUUCCAAGAUUCUUUUCCCUUUAUGGAACUAUCAAUAACAUGGUACAAUAUGGUGAGCGAGAGGCCUAUUGGUCACAUGAACUUUAUUAUAUAAUUCAAUGUACUAUGUGAUAAGUAAAUAUGUAAUGAAAGUUGUGUCAAAAAUUAGACCAUAUUGUAUUUAUUUUUAUUAGAUCAUUUUUGGAUGGCCAAUGAUAUGCUAGUAAACCUAGCACAAUGUCAUGGUGUGAGCAAGUUUAUGUACAAUUAAAAAACAACCAAACAAAUAAAUAAUAAUAAAGGUUAUGUACAAUCAAUUUUGUA
Molecule: long non-coding RNA, 3383 nt
Organism: Dendrobium catenatum
Lineage: Eukaryota; Viridiplantae; Streptophyta; Magnoliopsida; Asparagales; Orchidaceae
Exons: 2
Source: RefSeq, a predicted model, not a curated record